Poecilia latipinna (sailfin molly) is the source of this 154-nucleotide long non-coding RNA. RefSeq lists it as uncharacterized. NCBI's taxonomy places the organism in Eukaryota, Metazoa, Chordata, Actinopteri, Cyprinodontiformes, Poeciliidae. The transcript has 2 exons. The record is from RefSeq and is a predicted model, not a curated record.
AAACUGCAGUUUACUUUUAUACAGUGCUGAUUUUAUUGUCAAAAUUCAGUCUUACAGAUCGUCAAACUAAUAUUAACAUCAGAGAUAGGUAAUAUGGGUAAAUAAACAAAACAAUCCAAACACCUGUUUUGAAAAUGACCUAAUCCAGAGAAAU